CACUGUCACUCCUACGGGGAGGCAGCAGUGGGGGAAUAUUGCACAAUGGGCGCAAGCCUGAUGCAGCCAUGCCGCGUGUGUGAAGAAGGCCUUCGGGUUGUAAAGCACUUUCAGUCGUGAGGAAGGUGGUAGUGUUAAUAGCACUAUCAUUUGACGUUAGCGACAGAAGAAAGCACCGGCUAACUCCGUGCCAGCAGCCGCGGUAAUACGGAGGGUGCGAGCGUUAAUCGGAAUUACUGGGCGUAAAGCGCAUGCAGGUGGUUUGUUAAGUCAGAUGUGAAAGACCCGGGGCUCAACCUCGGAAUAGCAUUUGUAAACUAGGCAGACUAGAGUACUGUAGAGGGGGGUAGGAAUUUCUAGGUGUAGCGGUGAAAUGCGUAGAGAUCUGAAGGAAUACCGGUGGCGAAGGCGGCCCCCUCGGACAGAUACUGACACUCAGAUGCGAAAGCGUGGGGAGCAAACAGGAUUAGAUACCCUGGUAG
This 482-nucleotide ribosomal RNA is filed under the name uncultured bacterium. RNAcentral's name for it is "bacterial SSU rRNA". It matches the Rfam family "Bacterial small subunit ribosomal RNA", at positions 325 to 793 of the family's 1533-position model. The record is from RNAcentral.